Alligator mississippiensis (American alligator) is the source of this 516-nucleotide non-coding RNA. NCBI's taxonomy places the organism in Eukaryota, Metazoa, Chordata, Crocodylia, Alligatoridae. The record is from the annotation of a RefSeq genome assembly.
AUGGCCUUGGCCCCACUCCUGCUCGUAUUGCUCAUGUGCUGCUCAGGUUGUCUUGCUCAGACCGCACUGACUCAGCCGCCUUCGGUGUCUGUCUCUCCCGGACAAACUGCUACGCUCACCUGCACGGGGAGUAGCAUUGGUAGGUACGGAGCGAAUUGGUACCAACAGAAACCUGGGAGUGCCCCCCUGACCGCUAUGUACGGCAAUAAUAACAGACCCUCCGGUAUUUCGGAGCGGUUCUCUGGUUCCAAGUCCGGUAACACGGCCACACUGACCAUCACUGGAGUCCAAGCCCAGGACGAGGCUGAUUAUUACUGCAUCGCUUAUGAUAGUGGCAGUAGCUCUCUCUGUGGCGGUGGCACCAAGCUUCCCCACCUUGCUCUACCUUCCCACACAACAUCCUGCCUACUGGGCCGUGGAGACCUCAGGGGAGGGCAGAAGGAUGAGGAGGAGGAAAGGUAUGAGACAGAAGAGACAGGCAAGAAACAUGAGUGUGUCUGCAAGUACCUCUCAUAA